CUUUUUGCACGUGCCUUUGUUUCCACAAAGACCCUUGGACAAUGAGUCCCGGUUCCCAACAUGGAGGCCCAGGGCUCCUCAGAGCACAGAAUUGGAAGCCAACCUCUGCCCUCACGCACCCCGAGAACCCUCCGCUUGCCCAGGCAGCACUCCGAAUGUUUCAAGCUCAUUGCCUCAUGAAGGAAGGGCCACAGACAAAUCCAGGAGAACAACCGUGAGUCUCGGAGGCACCCUUUCAAAGGUCAGGCGAAGGAAUAAAGGCAGGAGUGAGAUAUUAAUUUGAGGAUCAUAAGCAUAAGCUUCGCAUUCAGAGUCAACCAAGCACUAGCGACUUGAGACUGAGUCUCUAGGGGACAAGGGAAAACAAUGGCCAAGCAAAACGACGGAAAGAAAAGACUAUAUCCCGAAUGCAGGAACCAACCAAGCAGUCAACCAAGCAGCCAACGCCUCUUAUGCUGCCCCUCCCCCAUCUGCAGUCUGGACUUUCCAGUAGGUCUUAUUGAAAACUUAAGGGGACAGAGACCUCGAAGACAUUCUUACCAACGUAGGAUGGGUAAAUAGAAACUAAUCGUAUAAUGCCAUGGAUGCAUGGCAUUUUGUGUCUCUAUCUUAGGAAAGAACAGAGUGGAGAGAUGGUUCAGUGGUCAGGGGUGCUCGC
Mesocricetus auratus (golden hamster) is the source of this 658-nucleotide long non-coding RNA. RefSeq lists it as uncharacterized. The record is from RefSeq and is a predicted model, not a curated record. Lineage: Eukaryota; Metazoa; Chordata; Mammalia; Rodentia; Cricetidae. The transcript has 4 exons.